CCGGCGACCGGCGCACGGGUGAGUAACACGUAUGCAACCUGGCCGUCACAGGUGGAUAACCGGAAGAAAUUCCGACUAAUACAGCAUAACACUCCUGAGGGACAUCCUUCGGGAGUCAAAGGAGGCAACUCCGGUGACGGAUGGGCAUGCGGCGCAUUAGGUAGUUGGUAGGGUAACGGCCUACCAAGCCGACGAUGCGUAGGGGUUCUGAGAGGAAGGUCCCCCACAUUGGAACUGAGACACGGUCCAAACUCCUACGGGAGGCAGCAG
This 270-nucleotide ribosomal RNA is filed under the name uncultured bacterium. RNAcentral's name for it is "partial 16S ribosomal RNA". It matches the Rfam family "Bacterial small subunit ribosomal RNA", at positions 88 to 354 of the family's 1533-position model. The record is from RNAcentral.